GGUUACCUGCGCCAGGACGGAAAGACCCCAUGGAGCUUUACUCCAGUCUGGUACUGGGACUCGGUAUUGCAUGUACAGGAUAGGUGGGAGGCUAGGAGAUGGUAACGCCAGUUGCCAUGGAGCCGCUGUUGGGAUACCACCCUUGCAGUAUUGGGUUUCUAACCAGCCGCCGUGAACCGGCGGUGGGACAAUGCCAGGCGGGGAGUUUGACUGGGGCGGUCGCCUCCGAAAGGGUAUCGGAGGCGCUCAAAGGUCAGCUCAGCACGGACGGAAACCGUGCAUCAGAGUGUAAACGCGUAAGCUGGCCUAACUGCGAGGGUGACGGCCCGAGCAGUAACGAAAGUUGGAGUUAGUGAUCCGGCGGUAUGUGAAUGGAAAUGCCGUCGCUCAACGGAUAAAAGCUACCCUGGGGAUAACAGGCUUAUCACUCCCAAGAGUUCACAUCGACGGAGUGGUUUGGCACCUCGAUGUCGGCUCAUCGCAUCCUGGGGCUGUAGUAGGUCCCAAGGGUUGGGCUGUUCGCCCAUUAAAGCGGUACGCGAGCUGGGUUCAGAACGUCGUGAGACAGUUCGGUCCCUAUCCGGCGUGGGCGUAGGAUAUUUGUGAGGUGCUGGCGUUAGGACGAGUGGCCCGGGGGGG
This 639-nucleotide ribosomal RNA is filed under the name Escherichia coli. RNAcentral's name for it is "partial 23S ribosomal RNA". It matches the Rfam family "Bacterial large subunit ribosomal RNA", at positions 2064 to 2700 of the family's 2925-position model. The record is from RNAcentral. Lineage: Bacteria; Pseudomonadati; Pseudomonadota; Gammaproteobacteria; Enterobacterales; Enterobacteriaceae.